AAAGUGAGGGGAUGCAAAGCAAAGGAAGAAGGCUUUUUGAUUCCUCCCCUCUGCUGAAGACACAUCCCAAGAAAAUAAGUAACAAAAAAGGACUUGUGCAGUAGUCAGAGUCUCACACAUCCUUUCCUGCUGGGUCCCCAACUCUUCCUGGAAGAAACUGAGGAUGGAGCCUUUCACAUCCAGGAUAUUACAUGAAAGUUGCACAGAAAACUGAUAUAUCUCCAAUGACUCACCUGCACCUUUGGAAAAGUCAGAAUGACAUGGAUGAGAUGACCUACAUACACACCUUUUAGUCACAGUUACUCUUGAUGUUGAAAUCUGUUCAGCCUGCAUUUUUGCUCUACAGAGAGCAAAAGAGAAAGAGGACGAAUAUACAGUCUUCAGAGCAGCAGUGGUGACUGUCCUCCUCCUGGGCUCCUUCCCAGUCCCCAGAACAAUUGUUUUUGGGAAACCCAGGCUAUUUGUUUCCAUCUCCAUCAACUCCCUGUGAUACAAACUACUGCACUGUUUACUGGAAGAGCCUGAACAGAAAGUCUACAACUUCAUAUCCACUAGAGCUUGGUUCAGUUCUUUUGCAUUUACAGAAGGCUGGCAGUGAAAUAGCAAAUUGUAUAAUGAGCUUCAAAGGGUCAUGCUGAUAUGAAAUGCAGAGACAGCCCUGAAAUCUGCUGAGGAACCACCCAGAAAGAGCCUGUACAUGCUCAAAUUUCUCACAUCCACCACGUAGCAAUGCAUUCUGCUAACAAGACCAACUAAAUGAACAUUUCUUUUGCUUGUACUUCAAAUUCUUCAUCAAAUGCUGUUUCAGUUUGCUCCACUGCAAUACUGGAAAAUGCCAGAUACACCUGGCAGUGUAGGAUAUAUGUAGCUCCCAGAAGUGCCCUGUACAUUUGCAAGAAAUGAAAUUAUUAAUUAUCUCUGUAUUUAUGUACCUAUUUGAUUCACAAGCUUGAUAGGUUCACUCUAGUGGCUGAUUUACGUGAAUGUUCCUGGGACUGCAUUACUGCAUAAUUAAUCUUUAUAGCAAAGUGGCCUUGUUUCCACAUGGAUGCUGCUUAAAAAAUUGCAUUCAUUUGCACUAUGGAGGCAUAGGCAAUAGGUGGAAAUAUCAAAAUGAGCUGUUCACUCCCUGUUCUGAAAUGGAUGAAAUCUAAAGCUAGUCUUCAUUUAGAUUGGAAGAAGAUGAUCCAGAGAUAUAGCACAGGAAAACCUCUCUGAUAUAAAGCUGGGAGGAGUGGCUGACACCAGAAGACUGUGCCUUCAGCAAGACUUGGACAGAAUGGAAAGUUGUGCAGGGAGAAACCUCAUUGAUUAACCUUGAUUAACAAGAGCAAGUGUAGAGUCUUGCUCCUGUGGUGGGAUAACCAUGUGCAUCAGUACAGGUUAGGGGAUGACCUGUGGAGAGGAGUUCUGCAGAGAAGGACCUGGGUAUUCUGGUGGACAAUGGGUUGGCCAUGAGCCAGCAGUGGGCCCUUGUAGCCAAGUAGGACAAUAGUAUUCUGGGGCACAUUCAAACGAGUGCGGCCAGCAUGUUAAAGAAGGUUAUCCUCCCUUUCCACUAUGCUCUGGUGAGACGACAUUUAGACUACUGUAUCCAGUUCUGGGCUCCCCAGUUCAAAAAAAAAAAAAACAGGGACCUCCUAGAAGGAGUCCAGCAGGGGGCCAUAAGGAUGAUAAAGGGCCUAGAGAUCUCCCUUAUGAGGAAAGAUUGGGAGACCUGGAUCUGUUCAUCCUGGAGAAAGAAGUCUGAGGGGGUAUCUGAUUAAUGUUUAUAAAUAUCUGAAUAGAGGUGGGAAGCAAAUGGAGGAGGCCGGGCUCCUCUUAGUGGUGCACAGCAAUAGGACAAGGAGUAAUGGCCUAAAACUUGAACAUAGGAAGUUCUAUGUAAAUAUGCUUAAGAACUUCUGUACGGUAGGGGUGACUAACCACUAGAACAGGUUGCCCAGAGAGGUUGUGGAGUCUCCUUCUCAGGAAAUACUCAAGACCUGGCUGAACAUCUACCUGUACAACUUAUCAGAGCAGGGGGCUUGGACUCGAUGAUCUCUUGAGGUCCCUUCCAACUCCUGAGAUUCUGUGAUUCUGAAACAGCAUGCAACAGAUCAGAUAUUUUUUCUUUUGAAACUGGACCUUAAAAAUACAUAUAUAUUUUUUGUUAUCCAAGGAAAUUAACCUGCUUUCUUCAGGUCAAAUAAAUUAUCUGUGGAUAC
Molecule: long non-coding RNA, 2207 nt
Organism: Gallus gallus (chicken)
Lineage: Eukaryota; Metazoa; Chordata; Aves; Galliformes; Phasianidae
Source: Ensembl